This 318-nucleotide ribosomal RNA is filed under the name uncultured Bacteroidota bacterium. RNAcentral describes it as "bacterial SSU rRNA". It matches the Rfam family "Bacterial small subunit ribosomal RNA", at positions 28 to 351 of the family's 1533-position model. Lineage: Bacteria; Pseudomonadati; Bacteroidota. The record is from RNAcentral.
GAUGAACGCUAGCGAUAGGCUUAACACAUGCAAGUCGAGGGGCAGCACUUCGGGUGGCGACCGGCGCACGGGUGAGUAACGCGUAUGCAACCUACCUUCUACAGGGGGAUAACCUCUCGAAAGAGAGACUAAUACCGCAUAAAACAGGGGCACCGCAUGGUGAUAUUUGUUAAAGAUUUAUUGGUAGAAGAUGGGCAUGCGUAACAUUAGCUUGUUGGUGAGGUAACGGCUCACCAAGGCAACGAUGUUUAGGGGUUCUGAGAGGAAGGUCCCCCCACACUGGUACUGAGACACGGACCAGACUCCUACGGGUGGCAG